RNAcentral lists this ribosomal RNA (564 nucleotides) under uncultured Acidobacteriota bacterium. Its description in RNAcentral is "bacterial SSU rRNA". It matches the Rfam family "Bacterial small subunit ribosomal RNA", at positions 335 to 915 of the family's 1533-position model. The record is from RNAcentral. Lineage: Bacteria; Pseudomonadati; Acidobacteriota.
ACUCCUACGGGAGGCAGCAGUGGGGAAUUUUGCGCAAUGGGGGAAACCCUGACGCAGCAAUGCCGCGUGGAGGAUGAAGUCCUUUGGGAUGUAAACUCCUUUCGAUCGGGAAGAUUAUGACGGUACCGGAAGAAGAAGCACCGGCUAACUACGUGCCAGCAGCCGCGGUAAUACGUAGGCAGCAAGCGUUGUUCGGAAUUACUGGGCGUAAAGAGUGUGUAGGCGGUGCUCUAAGUUCGUUGUGAAAUCUCCCGGCUUAACUGGGAGGGUGCGGCGGAAACUGGAGUGCUUGAGCGCGGGAGAGGAAAGCGGAAUUCCUGGUGUAGCGGUGAAAUGCGUAGAUAUCAGGAGGAACACCAAUGGCGAAGGCAGCCUUCUGGGCCAACACUGACGCUCAUGCACGAAAGCGUGGGGAGCAAACAGGAUUAGAUACCCUGGUAGUCCCAGCCGUAAACGAUGUCCACCAGGUGCUGGGCGGAUCGACCCGUUCAGUGCCGCAGCUUACGUGAUGAGUGGACCGCCUGGGGAGUACGGCCGCAAGGUUGAAACUUAAAGGAAUUGACG